CCUACGGGCGGCAGCAGUCGAGAAUCAUUCACAAUGGGGGAAACCCUGAUGGUGCGACGCCGCGUGGGGGAAUGAAGGUCUUCGGAUUGUAAACCCCUGUCAUGUGGGAGCAAAUUAAAAAGAUAGUACCACAAGAGGAAGAGACGGCUAACUCUGUGCCAGCAGCCGCGGUAAUACAGAGGUCUCAAGCGUUGUUCGGAAUCACUGGGCGUAAAGCGUGCGUAGGCUGUUUCGUAAGUCGUGUGUGAGAGGCGCGGGCGCAACCCGCGGACGGCACAUGAUACUGCGAGACUAGAGUAAUGGAGGGGGAACCGGAAUUCUCGGUGUAGCAGUGAAAUGCGUAGAUAUCGAGAGGAACACUCGUGGCGAAGGCGGGUUCCUGGACAUUAACUGACGCUGAGGCACGAAGGCCAGGGGAGCGAAAGGGAUUAGAUACCCCAGUAGUC
RNAcentral lists this ribosomal RNA (446 nucleotides) under uncultured bacterium. RNAcentral describes it as "partial 16S ribosomal RNA". It matches the Rfam family "Bacterial small subunit ribosomal RNA", at positions 338 to 795 of the family's 1533-position model. The record is from RNAcentral.